AGAGUUUGAUCAUGGCUCAGGAUGAACGCUAGCGGCAGGCUUAACACAUGCAAGUCGAGGGGCAUCGCGGGGUAGCAAUACUCUGGCGGCGACCGGCGGAAGGGUGCGUAACGCGUGAGCAACUUGCCCGUCACUGGGGGAUAGGCACUGGAAACGGUGUGUAAUACUCCAUAACAUAUGGAUUCACAUGGAUUUAUAUUGAAAGAUUCGUUGGUGACGGAUGGGCUCGCGUAACAUUAGCUAGUCGGCGGGGUAACGGCCCACCGAGGCUACGAUGUUUAGGGGUUCUGAGAGGAAGGUCCCCCACACUGGAACUGAGACACGGUCCAGACUCCUACGGGAGGCAGCAGUGAGGAAUAUUGGUCAAUGGGCGGAAACCUGAACCACCAUGCCGCGUGCAGGAAUAAAGGCCUAUGGGUCGUAAACUGCUUUUCUUUAGGGCAAUAAGGUCACGUGUGGC
Molecule: ribosomal RNA, 460 nt
Filed under: uncultured bacterium
Lineage: Bacteria
Description: bacterial SSU rRNA
Rfam family: Bacterial small subunit ribosomal RNA
Source: RNAcentral